AACGUACGCUGGCGGCACGCCUAACACAUGCAAGUCGAACGAAGUAGCAAUACUUAGUGGCAGACGGGUGAGUAACAUGUAGGUAUCUGCCCUUUGGCCUGGAAUAACACGAGGAAACUUGUGCUAAUACCGGAUAAGUCUUUACGGAGAAAGCUUUAUGCACCAUUGGAUGAGCCUGCACUUGACUAGUUUGUUGGUGGGGUAAUGGCCUACCAAGACUGUGAUCAAUAGCUGAUUUGAGAGGAUGAUCAGCCACAUUGGGACUGAGACACGGCCCAAACUCCUACGGGAGGCAGCAGUGGGGAAUCUUGCACAAUGGAGGAAACUCUGAUGCAGCGAUGCCGCGUGAGUGAAGAAGGCCCUUGGGUUGUAAAGCUCUUUCGUCGGGGAAGAAAAUGACUGUACCCGAAUAAGAAGGUCCGGCUAACUUCGUGCCAGCAGCCGCGGUAAUACGAAGGGACCUAGCGUAGUUCGGAAUUACUGGGCUUAAAGAGUUCGUAGGUGGUUGAAAAAGUUAGUGGUGAAAUCCCAGAGCUUAACUCUGGAACUGCCAUUAAAACUUUUCAGCUAGAGUAUGAUAGAGGAAAGCAGAAUUUCUAGUGUAGAGGUGAAAUUCGUAGAUAUUAGAAAGAAUACCAAUUGCGAAGGCAGCUUUCUGGAUCAUUACUGACACUGAGGAACGAAAGCAUGGGUAGCGAAGAGGAUUAGAUACCCUCGUAGUCCAUGCCGUAAACGAUGUGUGUUAGACGUUGGAAAUUUAUUUUCAGUGUCGCAGGGAAACCGAUAAACACACCGCCUGGGGAGUACGACCGCAAGGUUAAAACUCAAAUGAAUUGACGGGGACCCGCACAAGUAGUGGAGCAUGUGGUUUAAUUCGAAGAUACGCGCAGAACCUUACCAACACUUGACAUGUUCGUCGCGACUCUAAGAGAUUAGAGUUUUCGGUUCGGCCGGACGAAACACAGGUGCUGCAUGGCUGUCGUCAGCUCGUGUCGUGAGAUGUUGGGUUAAGUCCCGCAACGAGCGCAACCCUCACUUUUAGUUGCCAUCAUUAAGUUGGGCACUCUGAAAGAACUGCCAGUGAUAAGCUGGAGGAAGGUGGGGAUGACGUCAAGUCCUCAUGGCCCUUACGUGUUGGGCUACACACGUGCUACAAUGGUAUCUACAACAGGAAGCAAGACUGCGAAGUUAAGCAAAUCCCUAAAAGAUACCUCAGUUCGGAUUGCACUCUGCAACUCGAGUGCAUGAAGCUGGAAUUACUAGUAAUCGUGGAUCAGCGUGCCACGGUGAAUGCGUUCCCGGGUCU
This 1306-nucleotide ribosomal RNA is filed under the name uncultured bacterium. RNAcentral describes it as "bacterial SSU rRNA". It matches the Rfam family "Bacterial small subunit ribosomal RNA", at positions 28 to 1381 of the family's 1533-position model. The record is from RNAcentral.